RNAcentral lists this ribosomal RNA (568 nucleotides) under Paraburkholderia nodosa. RNAcentral describes it as "bacterial SSU rRNA". It matches the Rfam family "Bacterial small subunit ribosomal RNA", at positions 439 to 1012 of the family's 1533-position model. The record is from RNAcentral. Lineage: Bacteria; Pseudomonadati; Pseudomonadota; Betaproteobacteria; Burkholderiales; Burkholderiaceae.
UCCUGGCGGCUAAUAUCCGCCGGGGAUGACGGUACCGGAAGAAUAAGCACCGGCUAACUACGUGCCAGCAGCCGCGGUAAUACGUAGGGUGCGAGCGUUAAUCGGAAUUACUGGGCGUAAAGCGUGCGCAGGCGGUGAUGUAAGACCGAUGUGAAAUCCCCGGGCUUAACCUGGGAACUGCAUUGGUGACUGCAUCGCUGGAGUAUGGCAGAGGGGGGUAGAAUUCCACGUGUAGCAGUGAAAUGCGUAGAGAUGUGGAGGAAUACCGAUGGCGAAGGCAGCCCCCUGGGCCAAUACUGACGCUCAUGCACGAAAGCGUGGGGAGCAAACAGGAUUAGAUACCCUGGUAGUCCACGCCCUAAACGAUGUCAACUGGUUGUCGGGCCUUCAUUGGCUUGGUAACGUAGCUAACGCGUGAAGUUGACCGCCUGGGGAGUACGGUCGCAAGAUUAAAACUCAAAGGAAUUGACGGGGACCCGCACAAGCGGUGGAUGAUGUGGAUUAAUUCGAUGCAACGCGAAAAACCUUACCUACCCUUGACAUGUACGGAAGUCCGCUGAGAGGUGGA